This 208-nucleotide ribosomal RNA is filed under the name uncultured bacterium. RNAcentral's name for it is "partial 16S ribosomal RNA". It matches the Rfam family "Bacterial small subunit ribosomal RNA", at positions 568 to 774 of the family's 1533-position model. The record is from RNAcentral.
CUCGUAGGUGGUUUGUUACGUCGGUUGUGAAAUUCAGGGGCUCCAACCCCUGACUUGCAGCCGAUACGGGCAAGCUAGAGUUUGGUAGGGGAGACUGGAAUUCCUGGUGUAGCGGUGGAAUGCGCAGAUAUCAGGAGGAACACCGAUGGCGAAGGCAGGUCUCUGGGCCAAUACUGACACUGAGGAGCGAAAGCGUGGGGAGCGAACA